AUUGAACGCUGGCGGCAUGCCUUACACAUGCAAGUCGAACGGCAGCAUGAUCUAGCUUGCUAGAUUGAUGGCGAGUGGCGAACGGGUGAGUAAUACAUCGGAACGUGCCCUGUAGUGGGGGAUAACUAGUCGAAAGAUUAGCUAAUACCGCAUACGACCUGAGGGUGAAAGUGGGGGACCGCAAGGCCUCAUGCUAUAGGAGCGGCCGAUGUCUGAUUAGCUAGUUGGUGGGGUAAAGGCCCACCAAGGCGACGAUCAGUAGCUGGUCUGAGAGGACGAUCAGCCACACUGGGACUGAGACACGGCCCAGACUCCUACGGGAGGCAGCAGUGGGGAAUUUUGGACAAUGGGGUCAACCCUGAUCCAGCAAUGCCGCGUGUGUGAAGAAGGCCUUCGGGUUGUAAAGCACUUUUGUCCGGAAAGAAAUCGCACUUACUAAUAUUAGGUGUGGAUGACGGUACCGGAAGAAUAAGGACCGGCUAACUACGUG
This 490-nucleotide ribosomal RNA is filed under the name uncultured bacterium. Its description in RNAcentral is "partial 16S ribosomal RNA". It matches the Rfam family "Bacterial small subunit ribosomal RNA", at positions 30 to 507 of the family's 1533-position model. The record is from RNAcentral.